GUGGUUGUAGCUCAAUGGUAGAGCACUUGCCUAGCAUGUAAGAGGCACUGGGUUCUAUCCUCAGCACCACA
This is a non-coding RNA of Ictidomys tridecemlineatus (thirteen-lined ground squirrel), 71 nucleotides long. NCBI's taxonomy places the organism in Eukaryota, Metazoa, Chordata, Mammalia, Rodentia, Sciuridae. The record is from Rfam.